RNA transcript from Haliaeetus leucocephalus (bald eagle), 3107 nucleotides. It is a transcript of the gene named cyclin-dependent kinase-like 2 (CDC2-related kinase), with no coding region annotated. Lineage: Eukaryota; Metazoa; Chordata; Aves; Accipitriformes; Accipitridae. The record is from RefSeq and is a predicted model, not a curated record. The transcript is spliced from 14 exons.
GGGCCCGCGCCCGCCACCGUCCAUCAGCGGGGCCGUGCGGCCCCGGUUCCUUCAACCCACCCCGGCCGCGGCUUAGCGGAGUUUCUCCGGUCCCCGGGCCUUCCGCAGGGGGAAAGCUGCGGCCAUGGAGAAGUACCAGGUGCUGGGCCUCGUGGGGGAAGGCAGCUACGGGGUGGUGACCAAGUGCAGAAACAAGGAGACUGGGCAGAUCGUCGCCGUCAAGAAGUUCCUGGAAAGCGAGGACGACGCGGUGGUGAGGAAGAUCGCCGUGAGGGAGAUCAAGCUGCUGAAGCAACUCAGGCAUGAGAAUCUCGUGAACCUGCUGGAAGUGUGUAAAAAGAAGAAACGGUGGUAUCUGGUGUUUGAAUUUGUGGAUCACACGGUGCUUGAUGACCUUGAGGCGUUUCCAAAUGGACUAGACUACAGCAGGGUUCGGAAAUACUUAUUUCAGAUUAUGAGAGGAAUAGCGUUUUGUCACAGUCAUAAUAUAAUACAUCGGGAUAUUAAGCCAGAGAACAUACUAGUUUCCCAGUCGGGAGUUGUAAAACUAUGUGACUUUGGAUUUGCCCGUACCUUAGCAGCUUCAGGGGAAGCUUACACAGACUACGUGGCAACCCGAUGGUACAGAGCUCCAGAGCUGCUGGUGGGAGAUAUCAAAUAUGGCAAGGCUGUGGAUGUGUGGGCUAUUGGCUCUCUGAUAACAGAAAUGCUUACAGGAGAGCCCCUUUUCCCUGGAGAUUCAGACAUUGACCAGCUCUACCAUAUCACCAAGUGCCUGGGUAAUUUAAUUCCAAGACACCAAGAGUUAUUCUAUAAAAAUCCCCUUUUUGCUGGCAUGAGGUUGCCUGAAGUGAAGGAGGUUGAAUCUCUGGACAAACGAUAUCCUAAGCUCUCUGCUGCAGUACUAGAUUUAGCCAAGAAGUGUUUGCAGAUUGAUCCAGACAAAAGACCAUCCUGUGCCGAACUCUUGCAGUGCGAUUUCUUUAACAAGGAUGGAUUUGCUGAAAGAUUUGCUCAGGAGCUUAAAUUGAAGAUUCAGAAAGAUGCCAGAGACCAUCAAUUACAAAAAAAAUCAAAAAUCAGCAAAAGGGACAAAGAUGAUGUUUUAGAAGAAAGAAAAAUUAUUGGUGUCCAGGAUUUCAGCAUUGACCCAAAGAGCAGAGAUGCAAAGCUAUUAAAGGCGAAGCGCUCUAAAGCUGAUGCAGAGAAAGCAGACCGAUCCUCCAACCUGAGCUCCCUCUACGACAGUGCGAUCAACCCAUUUAAAAUAAGCCCUCAAACCAGCCUAAAAGAUUCCAGCAGCAGCUUGGACUAUGCCAAGAAUGCAGGCAUAGUUAUCCCUCCCAUCAACCAGAACUUUUCUCCCACCACGGUUGGGAUGGGUCCUGUGCCUGGGAACCUUAGUUACAGAGUUGAUGAAAAGAGUAAAAAAUACUUGAACCCAUUUCUAAAGCAACGGAAGCAUUCUCCAGCAGGCCAUUACAGUGUAAGCUUGACAUCGGUGACUAAUGAAAAAAACAUCCUUCAGGCAAAUAGGAAAAAAUGGGAAUUCUCCAAGACAGAUGUGCGUUUGCCAGAACUAAAUCAUCUCCCUGAACUGAGAGGAGUGGAAGCGUGGCAUCCCAGAUUUCUGAAAAAGGAAAAUAAAACAGUUUCAGAGUUCCGUGUCCCCUCCCUUGCUGCUAUUGACCUCCAUAACCCAAGUCUAGCCUCACAGCAGCUGUCAGGGACCUUGAUGCCCGAUGCAUCAGAAGCCAGCUUCCCCAGAGUUGAGCAUUAGCCUUAUGGAGAAGAUCACACCUGCCUGUAAAAGAGGGAGCAGCUGCUGACUCUGAAAUCUCUGCACCAAUGCUGGACGUGCUUGUAAUCUAUAUGAGUGUAUUUGUCACUUACAUUCAUGUGAUGCGAUGACUUAAUGCUACUAGGAAGAAAGAAGAAAAACCAUUGGGGUGGGAAGCAACCCUUAUAAUAGAAGUGGGGGAAAAAGAAACCUUACUAAAGUUGUCUCUUCUACGAAGCACAGAUGUGUAAGUGCACAGCUUUAGCAAGGUGGCUGAAACAGUGGGAACAAUCCACCUGAGUUUCCAGGUGCUAAAGCUGCAAGGUCUCUGCAGGAGAGAGGAGGAUCCCUUACUCUCUUGUUAGCCCAGCAGACUGCCAUGGGAAGAGGCUCAGGUCCAGUCCAAGGACAGAGCUCACGCUGCCAUUGCUGCUGGAUUUCUUGCAUGCAAAACAGCUGGUGAAACAUUGACUUUCUGGCCUAGGGCCGGGUCUUAUCUGAGGUUGCUCAGAGAAAAACAGUGGUUAUUGGUGUGUGACAAGGGUAGAAGCUGGUUUGGAGGAUUUUGAAGGAAGCUGGGCUUUCUUUUGUCUAACUGCUGCCCUCUUGAGGGUUUCUCUUUAAAUGAAGAGAGUAGAUAUCUGCUGAAUUUGCCAUGUUUUGGUGGGCUACCUGAUCUGUAUUGGAAAGCACCUUUGCCUUGACAAAAAUGUCAGUGAAGAAAAUGUUUGUGCAAGAAAUACGAUGUUUAAAUGUGUAAAUGUUCCCAACUGUUCCUUUGAAACCCUUGCUAAGGCUCAGCAGCAUGUGUGAUCUUGUGUUAGGUUCCUUUUCCCUCCAUGCUUUCAUCCCCCAGUCUUUGGGUGGUUGUUUUUCAGGUGUUUAACUCGGCCUGUUGUCUGGCCAUGCUGGGUGAACGUCUGGCUACUGUUAACGGUGAAGGAAGAAUAACAGUGUAAAAUACUGAGCUGUGUAGCAAGUGGCAUGUGAAAUGGUUUCUGUGAACGCUCAGUAACUCCCUUAAGUCAUCAGUCCUUUAGGUUCCUUGGGGGUUGGGACAUGCAAGUGUAAAACUUGACAGUGGCUUGUGGAGAAAGAUGGCAUCGCUGUUAUCUUGGGUCUGUUAUGAGACCAUUUUUGCUUAUCUGCCUCCAAGCUGGCUGUGGUCAGUUCUGUGCUGUCCCUGUGUUGCUCACAACUCAGUUUUCCAGCAGCUCGAGGCUGCUGUCACAGCUCACACCCCUGUACGGUGUAGUUAAUUUUGGAACUUGUCUUUGGAACACAAAAUAUGGCCUUUACCAUCGAUGUACUGUGGCAGAAUACAGUA